GACGGGAUUUGCGAAACCCAAGGUGCAUGCCGAGGGGCGGUUGGCCUCGUAAAAAGCCGCAAAAAAUAGUCGCAAACGACGAAAACUACGCUUUAGCAGCUUAAUAACCUGCUUAGAGCCCUCUCUCCCUAGCCUCCGCUCUUAGGACGGGGAUCAAGAGAGGUCAAACCCAAAAGAGAUCGCGUGGAAGCCCUGCCUGGGGUUGAAGCGUUAAAACUUAAUCAGGCUAGUUUGUUAGUGGCGUGUCCGUCCGCAGCUGGCAAGCGAAUGUAAAGACUGACUAAGCAUGUAGUACCGAGG
Molecule: transfer-messenger RNA, 300 nt
Filed under: Listeria monocytogenes
Lineage: Bacteria; Bacillati; Bacillota; Bacilli; Caryophanales; Listeriaceae
Description: partial transfer-messenger RNA
Rfam family: transfer-messenger RNA
About the family: Bacterial tmRNA, also known as 10Sa RNA or SsrA, is named for its dual tRNA and mRNA-like properties. Its role is to liberate the mRNA from a stalled ribosome. To accomplish this part of the tmRNA is used as a reading frame that ends in a translation stop signal.
Source: RNAcentral